RNAcentral lists this ribosomal RNA (255 nucleotides) under uncultured bacterium. Its description in RNAcentral is "partial 16S ribosomal RNA". It matches the Rfam family "Bacterial small subunit ribosomal RNA", at positions 524 to 776 of the family's 1533-position model. The record is from RNAcentral.
UACAGGGGGUGCAAACGUUGCUCGGAAUCAUUGGGCGUAAAGCGCACGUAGGCGGUCUGUUAUGUCGGAUGUGAAAGCCCUUGGCUCAACUGAGGAAGUGCAUCCGAAACUGGCAGGCUAGAGUACUAAAGAGGGUCGCGGAAUUCCCGGUGUAGAGGGUGAAAUUCGUAGAUAUCGGGAGGAAACACCAGUGGCGAAGGCGGCGACCUGGGUAGAUACUGACGCUGAGGUGCGAAAGCGUGGGGAGCAAACAGG